Molecule: long non-coding RNA, 1206 nt
Organism: Ochotona princeps (American pika)
Lineage: Eukaryota; Metazoa; Chordata; Mammalia; Lagomorpha; Ochotonidae
Exons: 4
Source: RefSeq, a predicted model, not a curated record
UCAUCUUUUUUUUUUUUUUUUUGGCAAGGAUGGUUGCCGCGGUUAUGGAAGGAGUGAGGAGCUUGCUUCAAAUCAGGAAAUGCCACGCAGGCUGAAAGUCAAAGAAACAAGCCCCGUGCUGACAGGUCUUGAAUGGGAACCUUGCUGGAUUUUUUUCUUCUUGGAUUAUUAUGCGUGUGGGACUUGGGGAACCAUGUGACUAUGCCACUGUACAGCAGGCAACCAGUUGAGCUUUUCCAACAUGCUAAAAACUGGGAGAAAAUAGUGGCGGACAGCAUGGAUCGUACCCUGCUUUGUUGAAUUUGGAGGGAGUUAGAAUUUAACACAUGAGUUCUGGGAGGACACAGUGCACCCACAGCACCUGCCCUAACUUAGUUUGAAGAUGGAGAGCGCACUGCUUCAUGUGGUCAGAUGCCAUCAAGACAGGAAAUCCUAGCUCACAGAGGCAUGCACAGCUGUUUGGGGGAAGAGGUGAGUUUUCCUUAAACUCCAUGUUCUCUGUGUCUUUCAAAUGACUUCAUGCUCAACAUGUUUGGGGUGGGAGUUUUAUUAAGAUACUGAUGUAGAUGCCCACUCACUAUGUAACUGGGCUCCAGAUUUCAGCUUCCUGCUAAUAUAGACCCUGGAAGGCAGCAAGGAUGGCUCAAGUAGUUGGAUUCCUUCCACUUCUGUGGGAUUGAGUUCCCGGCUCCUAGCUUCAGCCUGGCCUGGCCCUUGCCCUUGGGAGAGUGAACUAACAUGGAAGCUCUCUGUUUGACUUUCUCAAUAUUUUUGGAAAACAUUCAAGAGCACUUAGCCACACUGCUGCUGUCAAGGAAAUGCAGGCUGGUGGAGGCCACUGGAGCUGCUCAUUCUCUGUAGGGGAACAGCCUGCCUCGGUACUCUCUGUGGCCGGGCACCAGAUGUCAGCUCUCACAUUCAGAGCCUCCCACAGAAGCCAUUGACAUUUAUUUAGAAACUAAUUGUGCUGCGGUUUGGGACACGAAAUGGAAAAAAAAAAAAAAAAAGAUCAGCUCACAUUGCAAUCCAUCUUGGAAUGAAAUGGCUGUCGAGGCACCAGAAGAAAAUUGCUCCAUUAACUCAAAGGCAAGAGCUUCAAUUUGGAGGCCAGAAAGGCCAGAGCCACGAGAUGAGGGUCUCUGGAUUGCACAACCAUCACUGCAUUUUAACAGCAUAGCUCUCCUGGGAGUGCUCAGUCCCUGCCUU